Diachasma alloeum is the source of this 1171-nucleotide long non-coding RNA. RefSeq lists it as uncharacterized. NCBI's taxonomy places the organism in Eukaryota, Metazoa, Arthropoda, Insecta, Hymenoptera, Braconidae. The record is from RefSeq and is a predicted model, not a curated record. The transcript is spliced from 2 exons.
UCGAUGGCAUCAUUCAAUAUUAUUCAUGUUUAUUGUCGAAUGUAUUUCAUAGCCCCUCAAAUUACCCCCAAAAAUUCUCAAUUUUCGAAAAUUAUUUUUGACGCAGUGGAUUGCAUAAUAGGCGAAAUUGUAUCACCGAAUAAUGAUUGUGCAUGGCCAUGGUCUAUACUCGGAAGUCAUUAAACUGUACCAAAGUGAAUUAACGAGUGCAUCCAAAUGGAUUUUUUUACAUGAGCUUCACGUGUACUUGAACCCCCUUUUUUACAGUGAAUUUCCAUUAAUGAUUAAAAACGUGUAAAUUUACUCACGGUUUUUGUGUUGAAACGUUGUCCGCCGUCAUUAUUAUUGCCGGGGUUUUCUAACAACUGGUUCUCUUGGAAUAGCGGUUAAAUAUUUGGGAAACUGCAUGGGUUGAGCAGAUGGAGAACUAGCGGACUAACUGAACCAUCGGGCAAGACCACCAUCUACGAAGAAUUUCAAAGAUAAAUGAUUUCGAUUGUUGGCAUCCCAAAUUGACUGUGUCAUUGGCUGAUUUUGGGCACGUGCCAAUUGCGAAAAGUGCUGAGUAUUCAUGGAAAAAAAAUCAUUGCAGAGUGGAAAAUUUCAUAUUCUUGGAGAAUCUAGGAAGGAUAUUCAUAUUUACGUAAUUCGAUAUCUCUAUGAGUAUAAAAUUUACAUUUUCUCGUGAUAUUUAUAAUCAUUGACUCGUCAUGCUGUCGUAUAAUCUCUCUAAUUGCUCGUAGAAACACAAACACAGGACUGUGUGAGGGGCUGAUCUCAUCCAAGUUGGAAAAAGCCCUUUGUAUAAACCGAAUAUCCCUUCUGUUCUAAAAAUCUGGAAAAAUGCGUCGAAAUAGUUGCGGUAGACCAGUGCUUUUCCACGACUAUCCGUAGCUGCAACAAUCAUUCAUCAAAUAAAUGAUUUCAUCAUGGAAUGCAUAAAAAAUCUCACCUUGAUUAUACAGCCUCACAGAAAUAACGUCGAGGGGCUGCGUCAUGAGGGCCAGAGAACUUCCACCUACUAGUGCUGAGAGGAACGUCAGAAUCAUGGGAUGAUUAUCGAAAAACUAGAAAAAACAGUGACGUUUUUUUCUCUGGAUUUUAUAUUUGAUUUGACGGUUGAUAUUUUUUUUACUUGAAGCGCCCGUAAUAAAUCGCUCGCGAAACUGAA